GACUUGAGGAAGGUAGGGGAGAAUGGAAUUCCUGGUGGAGCGGUGGAAUGCGCAGAUAUCAGGAGGAACACCAGUGGCGAAGGCGGUUCUCUGGGCCUUUCCUGACGCUGAGGAGCGAAAGCGUGGGGAGCGAACAGGCUUAGAUACCCUGGUAGUCCACGCUGUAAACGGUGGGUACUAGGUGUGGGGUCCAUUCCACGGGUUCCGUGCCGUAGCUAACGCUUUAAGUACCCCGCCUGGGGAGUACGGCCGCAAGGCUAAAACUCAAAGGAAUUGACGGGGCCCCGCACAAGCGGCGGAGCAUGCGGAUUAAUUCGAUGCAACGCGUAGAACCUUACCUGGGUUUGACAUGGAUCGGGAGUGCUCAGGGAUGGGUGUGCCUCUUUUGGGGUCGGUUCACAGGUGGUGCAUGGCUGUCGUCAGCUCGUGUCGUGAGAUGUUGGGUUAAGUCCCGCAACGAGCGCAACCCUUGUUCACUGUUGCCAGCACGUUAUGGUGGGGACUCAGUGGAGACCGCCGGGGUCAACUCGGAGGAAGGUGGGGAUGACGUCAAGUCAUCAUGCCCCUUAUGUCCAGGGCUUCACGCGUGCUACAAUGGCUGGUACAGAGAGUGGCGAGCCUGUGAGGGUGAGCGAAUCUCGGAAAGCCGGUCUCAGUUCGGAUUGGGGUCUGCAACUCGACCUCAUGAAGUCGGAGUCGCUAGUAAUCGCAGAUCAGCAACGCUGCGGUGAAUACGUUCCCGGGGCUUGUACACACCGCCCGUCAAGUCAUGAAAGUUGGUAACACCCGAAGCCGGUGGCCUAACCGUUGUGGGGGAGCCGUCGAAGGUGGGACUGGUGAUUAGGAUUA
This 849-nucleotide ribosomal RNA is filed under the name uncultured organism. RNAcentral describes it as "SSU rRNA". It matches the Rfam family "Bacterial small subunit ribosomal RNA", at positions 639 to 1483 of the family's 1533-position model. The record is from RNAcentral.